This is a long non-coding RNA of Vigna angularis (adzuki bean), 654 nucleotides long. RefSeq lists it as uncharacterized. NCBI's taxonomy places the organism in Eukaryota, Viridiplantae, Streptophyta, Magnoliopsida, Fabales, Fabaceae. The record is from RefSeq and is a predicted model, not a curated record. The transcript has 2 exons.
AGGGUGCAGGUGGAAAAUAUGGGGUGUAGUAAGAAACUGCCCCUUAUUUGUCCUUGACCCAACACAAACAAAAACUAAUAAUAAAUAAUGAUUUGCACGCAUUUUCUGCGUUUGGUUGGAGACAGGAGCCAGAAGCGCGUCGAUCAACUAGCCACACAAUAACCAGGACGAUGAGGAUCUUCGGCAAACACGUUUUCCCGAGCCAGAUUAUACUUUUUGCUUCUGGGCUUUUGUUCUUUGCAUCAACAACCUAUGAUGUCCAUAGAUCCAUCAAGAACAACCAAACACCCCCUUCCCAAGAACAAGUGAAAGCCCUUCAAGACUACAUCGAAUCUGCGCGUCGCUCCCGUUAAAUCAACGGCAUGUAUUUUGCCACGUCAUCUUAUCAACACAUGCUUUAUAAUGUGAACUUCACAUUCUUGGCAUAUGAGCUAUUUUGAGCAAAAAAAAAAAAGUGGUUUUAUCUGUAAGAAAGUGAAAAAUAAGCUAAGUUCGUGUUCUGAUCCAGAAAAAGGUAAACAAAAUAAAAAUAAUGGCCCAUGCAGGUCUCGAACCUGCGACCUUCGCGUUAUUAGCACGACGCUCUAACCAGCUGAGCUAAUAGGCCCUUUUGUAAUAAGUAACGUGUUCUCUAAAUUUAUCCUAUUUCAAUCA